UUAUUCACAGACUCUGUGAGAUCGUGGUCC
RNAcentral lists this non-coding RNA (30 nucleotides) under Macaca fascicularis (crab-eating macaque). Lineage: Eukaryota; Metazoa; Chordata; Mammalia; Primates; Cercopithecidae. RNAcentral also lists the same sequence under 1 other name. The record is from RNAcentral.